Molecule: ribosomal RNA, 496 nt
Filed under: uncultured bacterium
Lineage: Bacteria
Description: partial 16S ribosomal RNA
Rfam family: Bacterial small subunit ribosomal RNA
Source: RNAcentral
GAUGAACGCUGGCGGCGUGCCUAAUACAUGCAAGUCGAGCGAACAGAUGAGGAGCUUGCUCCUCUGACGUUAGCGGCGGACGGGUGAGUAACACGUGGAUAACCUACCUAUAAGACUGGGAUAACUUCGGGAAACCGGAGCUAAUACCGGAUAAUAUAUGGAACCGCAUGGUUCAAUAGUGAAAGACGGUUUUGCUGUCACUUAUAGAUGGAUCCGCGCCGCAUUAGCUAGUUGGUAAGGUAACGGCUUACCAAGGCAACGAUGCGUAGCCGACCUGAGAGGGUGAGCGGCCACACUGGAACUGAGACACGGUCCAGACUCCUACGGGAGGCAGCAGUAGGGAAUCUUCCGCAAGGGGCGAAAGCCUGACGGAGCCACGCCGCGGGAGUGAUGAAGGUCUUCGGAUCGUAAAACUCUGUUAUUAGGGAAGAACAAAUGUGUAAGUAACUAUGCACGUCUUGACGGUACCUAAUCAGAAAGCAACGGCUAACUACGU